CACUCCUGCGGGAGGCAGCAGUGGGGAAUUUUGGACAAUGGGGGCAACCCUGAUCCAGCAAUGCCGCGUGAGUGAAGAAGGCCUUCGGGUUGUAAAGCUCUUUUGUCAGGGAAGAAACGGUAGUAGCGAAUAACUAUUACUAAUGACGGUACCUGAAGAAUAAGCACCGGCUAACUACGUGCCAGCAGCCGCGGUAAUACGUAGGGUGCAAGCGUUAAUCGGAAUUACUGGGCGUAAAGCGUGCGCAGGCGGUUGUGUAAGUCAGAUGUGAAAUCCCCGGGCUCAACCUGGGAAUUGCAUUUGAGACUGCACGGCUAGAGUGUGUCAGAGGGGGGUAGAAUUCCACGUGUAGCAGUGAAAUGCGUAGAUAUGUGGAGGAAUACCGAUGGCGAAGGCAGCCCCCUGGGAUAACACUGACGCUCAUGCACGAAAGCGUGGGGAGCAAACAGGAUUAGAAACCCCAGUAGUCCCA
This 472-nucleotide ribosomal RNA is filed under the name uncultured organism. Its description in RNAcentral is "partial 16S ribosomal RNA". It matches the Rfam family "Bacterial small subunit ribosomal RNA", at positions 334 to 797 of the family's 1533-position model. The record is from RNAcentral.